RNAcentral lists this transfer RNA (76 nucleotides) under Candidatus Beckwithbacteria bacterium. RNAcentral describes it as "tRNA-Pro". It matches the Rfam family "tRNA". Rfam says of the family: Transfer RNA (tRNA) molecules are approximately 80 nucleotides in length. Lineage: Bacteria; Candidatus Beckwithiibacteriota. The record is from RNAcentral.
CGGGGUGUGGCUCAGUUGGUAGAGCGCUACGUUCGGGACGUAGAGGCCGCCGGUUCGAAUCCGGCCACCCCGACCA